Molecule: ribosomal RNA, 499 nt
Filed under: uncultured bacterium
Lineage: Bacteria
Description: partial 16S ribosomal RNA
Rfam family: Bacterial small subunit ribosomal RNA
Source: RNAcentral
GAUGAACGCUGGCGGCGUGCCUAACACAUGCAAGUCGAGCGAACAGACGAGAGUUCUUGCUCUCUUUGCCGGUAGCCGCGUGCGGGAGGGUUACGCAUCGGUAACCUACUUAGAAGACACGUAUGACUUCGGGCAACCAUACCGAAUACCGGAUAAGAUUGAACUUCGGGGGGAUUCAUAGUUAACGAAAUUUCUUCUGCCUCGUUGAGAUUGACCCGCGGGGUAUUAACUUGGUGGUGAGGUAACGGCUCACCAAGGCAACGAUGCAGAGCCGACCUGAGAGGGUGAUCGGCCACACUGGAACUGAGACACGGCCCAGACUCCUACGGGAGGCAGCAGUAGGGAAUAUUCGGCAAUGGGCGAAAGCCUGACGGAGCAAUGCCGAGUGCGUGAAGAAGGUGUUCGGAUCGUAAAACUCUGUUGUAAGGGAAGAAGAGGUACGUGAGUAGCUGAACGUGUCUUGACGGUACCUGAAGAGAAAGCACCGGCUAACUACGUG